This 82-nucleotide transfer RNA is filed under the name Clostridia bacterium. RNAcentral's name for it is "tRNA-Leu". It matches the Rfam family "tRNA". Rfam says of the family: Transfer RNA (tRNA) molecules are approximately 80 nucleotides in length. Their secondary structure includes four short double-helical elements and three loops (D, anti-codon, and T loops). Further hydrogen bonds mediate the characteristic L-shaped molecular structure. tRNAs have two regions of fundamental functional importance: the anti-codon, which is responsible for specific mRNA codon recognition, and the 3' end, to which the tRNAs corresponding amino acid is attached (by aminoacyl-tRNA synthetases). tRNAs cope with the degeneracy of the genetic code in two manners: having more than one tRNA (with a specific anti-codon) for a particular amino acid; and 'wobble' base-pairing, i.e. permitting non-standard base-pairing at the 3rd anti-codon position. Lineage: Bacteria; Bacillati; Bacillota; Clostridia. The record is from RNAcentral.
GCCGGUGUGGCGGAAUGGCAGACGCAUCGCACUCAAAAUGCGACGGGAAACCGUGCCGGUUCAAGUCCGGCCACCGGCACCA